AUUGAACGCUGGCGGCAUGCCUUACACAUGCAAGUCGAACGGUAACAGGUCUUCGGAUGCUGACGAGUGGCGAACGGGUGAGUAAUACAUCGGAACGUGCCCGAUCGUGGGGGAUAACGGAGCGAAAGCUUUGCUAAUACCGCAUACGAUCUACGGAUGAAAGCGGGGGACCGCAAGGCCUUGCGCGGACGGAGCGGCCGAUGGCAGAUUAGGUAGUUGGUGGGAUAAAAGCUUACCAAGCCGACGAUCUGUAGCUGGUCUGAGAGGACGACCAGCCACACUGGGACUGAGACACGGCCCAGACUCCUACGGGAGGCAGCAGUGGGGAAUUUUGGACAAUGGGCGAAAGCCUGAUCCAGCCAUGCCGCGUGCAGGAUGAAGGCCUUCGGGUUGUAAACUGCUUUUGUACGGAACGAAAAGACUCUUUCUAAUAAAGAGGGUCCAUGACGGUACCGUAAGAAUAAGCACCGGCUAACUACGUG
This 482-nucleotide ribosomal RNA is filed under the name uncultured bacterium. RNAcentral describes it as "partial 16S ribosomal RNA". It matches the Rfam family "Bacterial small subunit ribosomal RNA", at positions 30 to 507 of the family's 1533-position model. The record is from RNAcentral.